This 429-nucleotide ribosomal RNA is filed under the name Gemmatimonadota bacterium. Its description in RNAcentral is "Gemmatimonadetes bacterium partial 16S ribosomal RNA". It matches the Rfam family "Bacterial small subunit ribosomal RNA", at positions 355 to 776 of the family's 1533-position model. The record is from RNAcentral. Lineage: Bacteria; Pseudomonadati; Gemmatimonadota.
UAGGGAAUCUUCGGCAAUGGACGAAAGUCUGACCGAGCAACGCCGCGUGAGUGAAGAAGGUUUUCGGAUCGUAAAACUCUGUUGUUAGAGAAGAACAAGGACGUUAGUAACUGAACGUCCCCUGACGGUAUCUAACCAGAAAGCCACGGCUAACUACGUGCCAGCAGCCGCGGUAAUACGUAGGUGGCAAGCGUUGUCCGGAUUUAUUGGGCGUAAAGCGAGCGCAGGCGGUUUCUUAAGUCUGAUGUGAAAGCCCCCGGCUCAACCGGGGAGGGUCAUUGGAAACUGGGAGACUUGAGUGCAGAAGAGGAGAGUGGAAUUCCAUGUGUAGCGGUGAAAUGCGUAGAUAGAUGGAGGAACACCAGUGGCGAAGGCGGCUCUCUGGUCUGUAACUGACGGUGAGGCUCGAAAGCGUGGGGAGAAAACAGG